GAUGAACGCUGGCGGCGUGCCUAAUACAUGCAAGUCGAGCGAACAGACGAGGAGCUUGCUCCUCUGACGUUAGCGGCGGACGGGUGAGUAACACGUGGAUAACCUACCUAUAAGACUGGGAUAACUUCGGGAAACCGGAGCUAAUACCGGAUAAUAUAUUGAACCGCAUGGUUCAAUAGUGAAAGACGGUUUUGCUGUCACUUAUAGAUGGAUCCGCGCCGCAUUAGCUAGUUGAUAAGGUAACGGCUUACCAAGGCAACGAUGCGUAGCCGACCUGAGAGGGUGAUCGGCCACACUGGAACUGAGACACGGUCCAGACUCCUACGGGAGGCAGCAGUAGGGAAUCUUCCGCAAUGGGCGAAAGCCUGACGGAGCAACGCCGCGUGAGUGAUGAAGGUCUUCGGAUCGUAAAACUCUGUUAUUAGGGAAGAACAAAUGUGUAAGUAACUAUGCACGUCUUGACGGUACCUAAUCAGAAAGCCGCGGCUAACUACGUG
Molecule: ribosomal RNA, 497 nt
Filed under: uncultured bacterium
Lineage: Bacteria
Description: partial 16S ribosomal RNA
Rfam family: Bacterial small subunit ribosomal RNA
Source: RNAcentral